This 637-nucleotide ribosomal RNA is filed under the name Sericesthis sp. NLG-2014. RNAcentral's name for it is "eukaryotic LSU rRNA". It matches the Rfam family "Eukaryotic large subunit ribosomal RNA", at positions 671 to 1265 of the family's 3401-position model. Lineage: Eukaryota; Metazoa; Arthropoda; Insecta; Coleoptera; Scarabaeidae. The record is from RNAcentral.
GAGUCUAGCAUGUGCGCGAGUCAUUGGGACUCUAAUGAAACCUAAAGGCGCAAUGAAAGUGAAGGCCCGCCUAGCGCGGGCCGAGGGAGGAUGGGUGGUCUCUCGGGACCGCCUCGCACUCCCGGGGCGUCUCGUUCUCAUCGUGAGAAGAGGCGCACCCAGAGCGUACACGCUGGGACCCGAAAGAUGGUGAACUAUGCCUGGUCAGGACGAAGUCAGGGGAAACCCUGAUGGAGGUCCGUAGCGAUUCUGACGUGCAAAUCGAUCGUCGGAACUGGGUAUAGGGGCGAAAGACUAAUCGAACCAUCUAGUAGCUGGUUCCCUCCGAAGUUUCCCUCAGGAUAGCUGGCGCUCGCUUCUCGCGAGUCUCAUUCGGUAAAGCGAAUGAUUAGAGGCAUUGGGGUCGAAACGGCCUCAACCUAUUCUCAAACUUUAAAUGGGUGAGAUCUCCGGCUUGCUUGAACUGUGAAGCCGCGAGAUAUCGGAUCAGAGUGCCAAGUGGGCCACUUUUGGUAAGCAGAACUGGCGCUGUGGGAUGAACCAAACGCAGAGUUAAAGCGCCUAAAUCGACGCUUAUGGGAUACCAUGAAAGGCGUUGGUAACUUAAGACAGCAGGACGGUGGCCAUGGAAGUCGGA